This is a non-coding RNA of Podarcis lilfordi (Lilford's wall lizard), 1277 nucleotides long. NCBI's taxonomy places the organism in Eukaryota, Metazoa, Chordata, Lepidosauria, Squamata, Lacertidae. The record is from the annotation of a GenBank genome assembly.
AUAUACUAUGCAUGUAUCCCUCUGGAAGGUGAAGCUAUCUGCAAACUAGACAAACAACCUUGUGCUGUGUACUUAACUGAAAUGUUGAAGGUGGAUUAUUCAAACAGUUGACUCGUUUCCCAGCUGAGAUGGACACUUUCUGUAAGUAAGACAAGUGUUAUGAAUGACCGGUUAUUGUUAAGAAAAUUAAAGGUGCGGUAAUGGGUGAUGACUGAAAAUGUUGUUUAGGAAAGUGUUGGCAGCGUUGUUUUUAGAAUGCAAGUUUUUAAGAACUUUAUGAAGCAGUUGUGAUAAACUUAGGAUGAACCAGCGCCUCCCACCCAGACAAAGCCAGCAAUGUUUUCAGCCAUGGAAUCCGAAAACAGUCAAGUCAGAACAGGAAAGCAUAGAAGAGCUCAGAAAGGCAGCUAAGUCAACUAACCUCACUUUCCCUUUAAGUAAGCAGUUCAUUCUGAAAUAUUGACUGGUGCUUUGCAUUUGCGGUGCUGAAAUAAUAAGCUUACGCCCCACUGCGUGACACAAGUUUAUUUUAUUAGGAGAUUGACAGGUUGUUUUUGGAGAGAAGGCACCGAUAUACCAAACUCAGCUGUUGCACCCUAAUGUACACAAAAGAGAAUAUUGUGUUGGAGGGAUGGGUGUGGAAAGAUAUGCAGAGAAGUAUUUUUGGGAUUGAAAUAAUGACACGGUGCACAAGCACUGACUUCGCCUGCCUUUACUCUUUUGCUUUCUUUCUUGUUUCAAAUGCUCCCUUGCGACGCAGCAUGCCUGGUAUGCCUAAGAGCAUGACAGAGGCAUCUGUAACUGUGCAGAUUAUGAACUCUCAGUCUUUGUCCACUCUCGUGUGUUUAUAUCUGGGAGAAGCAGCAAUUCAUCUGGAUAUAAAACCCAAACAUACUUUUAUAGGCUGCAUGAUCCUCCAAGAAUGUUAGCGCUUAGCUAUUCGUAAUUUGCUUAAUACAGAGGGUGGAAGGGAUUGGCUGAAAGCCAGUAGGGAAACUAUAAUCAGCCACACGCUAGUUGCUUACGAUGUGAGCAUGCUUAGCACAAUCCAGCCAAAGUUAAGCGCUUUCAAGUCUGGAAGAGUUAAGCUGCAAUCCACUAACCCGGGAGUAAGCACUGUUAAACUCCAUUGACAGCUGAUAUGAUUGGAAAAUGCUAGAGACUGGUUGGGUCGUAUCCAUAGUGAUACUGUUUGUUGAUUCCUCUUCUGUUAAAUUUAAUAAAAGCUAAGAAUGCCCUUGUACCAAUGAUCAGGGUACAAAAGCAAUAUUAAUUGG